This 64-nucleotide microRNA precursor is filed under the name Patiria miniata (bat star). RNAcentral describes it as "Pmi-Mir-1_pre stem-loop". It matches the Rfam family "mir-1 microRNA precursor family", at positions 10 to 70 of the family's 79-position model. Rfam says of the family: This family represents the microRNA (miRNA) mir-1 family. miRNAs are transcribed as ~70nt precursors (modelled here) and subsequently processed by the Dicer enzyme to give a ~22nt product. Lineage: Eukaryota; Metazoa; Echinodermata; Asteroidea; Valvatida; Asterinidae. The record is from RNAcentral.
ACAUGCUUCCUUACUAUUCCAUAGUUAUUCUCUAUAGCCAUAUGGAAUGUAAAGAAGUAUGUAU